GGCCCAUUAUCUCAGUUGGUUAGAGCGUGGUGCUAAUAACGCCAAGGUCGCAGGUUCGAGACCUGCAUGGGCCA
Molecule: non-coding RNA, 74 nt
Organism: Hordeum vulgare subsp. vulgare (domesticated barley)
Lineage: Eukaryota; Viridiplantae; Streptophyta; Magnoliopsida; Poales; Poaceae
Source: Rfam